RNAcentral lists this ribosomal RNA (465 nucleotides) under Vreelandella stevensii. RNAcentral's name for it is "partial 16S ribosomal RNA". It matches the Rfam family "Bacterial small subunit ribosomal RNA", at positions 338 to 795 of the family's 1533-position model. The record is from RNAcentral. Lineage: Bacteria; Pseudomonadati; Pseudomonadota; Gammaproteobacteria; Oceanospirillales; Halomonadaceae.
CCUAUGGGUGGCAGCAGUGGGGAAUAUUGGACAAUGGGCGAAAGCCUGAUCCAGCCAUGCCGCGUGUGUGAAGAAGGCCUUCGGGUUGUAAAGCACUUUCAGUGGGGAAGAAAGCCUUGGGGCUAAUACCCUCGAGGAAGGACAUCACCCACAGAAGAAGCACCGGCUAACUCCGUGCCAGCAGCCGCGGUAAUACGGAGGGUGCGAGCGUUAAUCGGAAUUACUGGGCGUAAAGCGCGCGUAGGCGGUCUGAUAAGCCGGUUGUGAAAGCCCCGGGCUCAACCUGGGAACGGCAUCCGGAACUGUCAGGCUAGAGUGCAGGAGAGGAAGGUAGAAUUCCCGGUGUAGCGGUGAAAUGCGUAGAGAUCGGGAGGAAUACCAGUGGCGAAGGCGGCCUUCUGGACUGACACUGACGCUGAGGUGCGAAAGCGUGGGUAGCAAACAGGAUUAGAUACCCGAGUAGUC